GGGUCGUUAGCUCAGUCGGUAGAGCAGUUGGCUUUUAACCAAUUGGUCGAUGGUUCGAAUCCAUCACGACCCA
Molecule: transfer RNA, 73 nt
Organism: Hahella chejuensis KCTC 2396
Lineage: Bacteria; Pseudomonadati; Pseudomonadota; Gammaproteobacteria; Oceanospirillales; Hahellaceae
Rfam family: tRNA
About the family: Transfer RNA (tRNA) molecules are approximately 80 nucleotides in length.
Source: Rfam